Non-coding RNA from Gossypium hirsutum (cotton), 146 nucleotides. NCBI's taxonomy places the organism in Eukaryota, Viridiplantae, Streptophyta, Magnoliopsida, Malvales, Malvaceae. The record is from Rfam.
UUUUAAAAAGUUUUAACCAUUUAUAUUGUUAAAAACUGGUGUGACUGAUAGAAUAAUCAAUUAGUUACACAUGGUGUACUACAAAUACCUCAUCCUAACAUAUAAAGAUCAGCUUUUAACAUUAUAAAUGGAUAGAAUUUUUAAUA